ACUUAAAGCCAUGCCUCCAUUCCUGUAUUUUCCAUUAGUCUUGUCUGUUUGGUUCCAGUGGUCAGCCCCUCAGCCCUGCAAAAGUUAGAAAGGAGUGGGGAGAAGAAAUGGUGCAGGUGGCAACAUCUUAGAGACCUCUAAAGUGGAUCCACAGCCUAGGUGGAGCAUCCUGUUCUACUAAAGGUGUUAGAAACACUUCUAUCCCAUCUCUGUGUCUUUGGGUUGAGCCCAGAAAACUUCAGUGACUUCUGGAAGAGAUGAGAUGAUGAAACUGUACCUGAACAGCAACAUGAAUUCGUAACUUGCUGGCAGCAUGGGCUGUGUUAUAUGUGGUCUGCCUGUUCCUGCUUUACUCAGAGAGUACCAACAGCAAGCCUCAAAUGGCUGCAGAAGUCAGAUUGUGAGAGCUGUCCUGUGGAAGAUAACACAGCAAAUGGAGACCUGUGAAAGAGACAGGGCGUGCAGUAGCCUUCCUUAGAAACUUGAGCCUGAUGCUCUUUUGUGUUUCUGUUGACAUGCUGGGCAGUGGCAUAGUGCUGGGAUUUGCAAAUUAUCUGAAAAGAGGGCUGGUAAUAGGGUGAGUAAUUUUUAAGAGAAAUUGAAACAGAAUAUGGGGAGGAAUAAAUAGAAGGAUACAACACGGAUAGGAAGAAAU
RNAcentral lists this long non-coding RNA (655 nucleotides) under Phasianus colchicus (ring-necked pheasant). RNAcentral describes it as "lncRNA (ENSPCLG00000003381.1)". The record is from RNAcentral. Lineage: Eukaryota; Metazoa; Chordata; Aves; Galliformes; Phasianidae.